UUUGUGAACUUAUACCUUACUGUUGCCUCGGCGCAGGCCGGCCUCACUGAGGCCCCUCGGAAACGAGGAGCAGCCCGCCGGCGGCCAACCAAACUCUUGUUUCUUAGUGAAUCUCUGAGUAAAAAACAUAAAUGAAUCAAAACUUUCAACAACGGAUCUCUUGGUUCUGGCAUCGAUGAAGAACGCAGCGAAAUGCGAUAAGUAAUGUGAAUUGCAGAAUUCAGUGAAUCAUCGAAUCUUUGAACGCACAUUGCGCCCUCUGGUAUUCCGGAGGGCAUGCCUGUUCGAGCGUCAUUUCAACCCUCAAGCAUUGCUUGGUGUUGGGGCACCGCCUGUAAAAGGGCGGGCCCUGAAAUCUAGUGGCGAGCUCGCCAGGACCCCGAGCGUAGUAAUUAUAUUUCGUUCUGGAAGGCCCUGGCGGUGCCCUGCCGUUAAACCCCCAACUUCUGAAAAUUUGACCUCGGAUCAGGUAGGAAUACCCGCUGAACUUAAGCA
RNAcentral lists this ribosomal RNA (495 nucleotides) under Diaporthe columnaris. RNAcentral's name for it is "eukaryotic LSU rRNA". The stretch from base 141 to 294 matches the Rfam family "5.8S ribosomal RNA". Lineage: Eukaryota; Fungi; Ascomycota; Sordariomycetes; Diaporthales; Diaporthaceae. The record is from RNAcentral.